This 1529-nucleotide long non-coding RNA is filed under the name Salmo salar (Atlantic salmon). RNAcentral's name for it is "lncRNA (ENSSSAG00000110986.1)". Lineage: Eukaryota; Metazoa; Chordata; Actinopteri; Salmoniformes; Salmonidae. The record is from RNAcentral.
ACCUGCUACAACUAAACACAACAUUACAACCUGCUACAACUAAACACAACAUUAUCGACCUGCUACAACUAAACACAACAUUAUCGACCUGCUACACAGAGAGGAACCAAGCAUAAAUGUCUUUUUCCAUUGAUUGAAAAUAGCUGUCACUGCAGGGGGAUGUUUGUAGCCAUCUUUUCAUUUUAUUUUCUCCUUCAUGUGGGAACAUCUAUAAUAUUAGACCCAUCUCUUUAUUCUCUUGAAUGACCUGUACAGACCAGGGUCUGUACCGACCCCGAGCUGGACUGAGGAGGUUUUAUACAGACCAGGGUCUGUACCGACCCCGAGCUGGACUGAGGAGGUUUUAUACAGACCAGGGUCUGUGAUCAACCAAGAUGGACUGAGGAGGUUUUAUACAGACCAGGAUCUGUACCGACCCAGAACUGAACUGAGGAGGUUUUAUACAGACCAGGGUCUGUACCGACCCAGAGCUGGACUGAGGAGGUUUUAUACAGACCAGGGUCUGUGAUCAACCAAGAUGGACUGAGGAGGUUUUAUACAGAUCAGGGUCUGUAUCGACCCCGAGCUGGACUGAGGAGGUUUUAUACAGACCAGGGUCUGGACUGAGAAGGUUUUAUACAGACCAGGGUCUGUACCGACCCAGAACUGGACUGAGGAGGUUUUAUACAGACCAGGGUCUGUACCGACCCAGAACUGGACUGAGGAGGUUUUAUACAGACCAGGGUCUGUACCGACCCCGAGCUGCACUGAGGAGGUUUUAUACAGAACAGGGUCUGUACCGACCCCGAGCUGGACUGAGGAGGUUUUAUACAGACCAGGGUCUGUACCGAGCUGGACUGAGGAGGUUUUAUACAGACCAGGGUCUGUAUCAACCCCGAGCUGGACUGAGGAGGUUUUAUACAGACCAGGGUCUGUACCGACCCAGAACUGGACUGAGGAGGUUUUAUACAGACCAGGGUCUGUACCGACCCAGAGCUGGACUGAGGAGGUUUUAUACAGACCAGGGUCUGUAUCGACCCCGAGCUGGACUGAGGAGGAUUUAUACAGACCAGGGUCUGUACCGAGCUGGACUGAGGGGUUUUAUACAGACCAGGGUCUGUACCGAGCUGGACUGAGGAGGUUUUAUACAGACAGGGUCUGUGAUCAACCAAGAUGGACUGAGGAGGUUUUAUACAGACCAGGGUCUGUAUCAACCCCGAGCUGGACUGAGGAGGUUUUAUACAGACCAGGGUCUGUAUCGACCCCGAGCUGGACUGAGGAGGUUUUAUACAGACCAGGGUCUGUACCGAGCUGGACUGAGGGGUUUUAUACAGACCAGGGUCUGUACCGAGCUGGACUGAGGAGGUUUUAUACAGACCAGGGUCUGUACCGACCCAGAGCUGGACUGAGGAGGUUUUAUACCUGGUCUGUGUUCAACCAAGAUGGAAGAGGAACGACUCAAACAUCCGAAUCUUAGUGCCAAGGUUACCGUGGAAACAGAGGAGGGGAACUGAUUUGUCUAAGUAACUAAUAUUAAAACAUUAAAAAAA